This 492-nucleotide ribosomal RNA is filed under the name uncultured bacterium. Its description in RNAcentral is "partial 16S ribosomal RNA". It matches the Rfam family "Bacterial small subunit ribosomal RNA", at positions 29 to 507 of the family's 1533-position model. The record is from RNAcentral.
AGUGAACGCUGGCGGUAGGCCUAACACAUGCAAGUCGAACGGCAGCACAGUAAGAGCUUGCUCUUACGGGUGGCGAGUGGCGGACGGGUGAGGAAUACAUCGGAAUCUACUUUUUCGUGGGGGAUAACGUAGGGAAACUUACGCUAAUACCGCAUACGACCUACGGGUGAAAGCAGGGGAUCUUCGGACCUUGCGCGAUUGAAUGAGCGGAUGUCGGAUUAGCUAGUUGGCGGGGUAAAGGCCCACCAAGGCGACGAUCCGUAGCUGGUCUGAGAGGAUGAUCAGCCACACUGGAACUGAGACACGGUCCAGACUCCUACGGAAGGCAGCAGUGGGGAAUAUUGGACAAUGGGCGCAAGCCUGAUCCAGCCAUACCGCGUGGGUGAAGAAGGCCUUCGGGUUGUAAAGCCCUUUUGUUGGGAAAGAAAAGCAGCAGGUUAAUACCCCGCUGUUCUGACGGUACCCAAAGAAUAAGCACCGGCUAACUUCGUG